GCCUGGGUGGCUCGGUCGGUUGAGCAUCUGACUUCAGCUCAGGUUAUGAUCUCCUGGUUCGUGGGUUCAAACCCCACCUCGGGCU
RNAcentral lists this transfer RNA (85 nucleotides) under Felis catus (domestic cat). It matches the Rfam family "tRNA". From Rfam's summary of the family: Transfer RNA (tRNA) molecules are approximately 80 nucleotides in length. Their secondary structure includes four short double-helical elements and three loops (D, anti-codon, and T loops). Lineage: Eukaryota; Metazoa; Chordata; Mammalia; Carnivora; Felidae. The record is from Rfam by way of RNAcentral.